ACGGAGGGGGCUAGCGUUGUUCGGAAUUACUGGGCGUAAAGCGCACGUAGGCGGCUUUGUAAGUUAGAGGUGAAAGCCCGGGGCUCAACCCCGGAAUUGCCUUUAAGACUGCAUCGCUUGAACGUCGGAGAGGUGAGUGGAAUUCCGAGUGUAGAGGUGAAAUUCGUAGAUAUUCGGAAGAACACCAGUGGCGAAGGCGGCUCACUGGACGACUGUUGACGCUGAGGUGCGAAAGCGUGGGGAGCAAACAGG
RNAcentral lists this ribosomal RNA (252 nucleotides) under uncultured bacterium. RNAcentral's name for it is "partial 16S ribosomal RNA". It matches the Rfam family "Bacterial small subunit ribosomal RNA", at positions 525 to 776 of the family's 1533-position model. The record is from RNAcentral.